AUGGUGUUGUUGGAUCAUCCAACAGAUGCUGAACUUCUCAAUUCCCCACUUGAGAACUAGAACUAUAUGGAAAAUUGCUUUGCUAAUAAGCAAGCCACCGGGAAUUAUGCAAUGGCCACCGGUGUGCCACUGGGAACGCCUAUUGUUGUGGAAGACAAAGAUAAACCCAUUGUCAUGGAGGGGCAUGGAACAACUAAUGAGGUAUUACAACAUCUUCCUGGGUCUAGCUCCGUACUUCCAACUGCUAGUGCCACUCAGGACCCUUCACCUACUUCAAAUAAGAAGAGAAAGAGGGCAUCAUGUUUGACUGAGGAAGACACAAUCCAGUGCAGCAACAACACUUGCCAUGCUGAAACACACCCUGACUUGUACAAGACUGUCAUGGACCUUAUUGUGUUUGAUCAAGAUGAUCGCUUAGCUGUUCUAGAUUAUCUCACAAAACAUAAGGCAAAAAGCCUCAACUUUGUGAAGAUGAAUGAUGAAGUCCGUAAAAGCAUCGUUCAAACGUAUCUUGAAAGCCAAUCCUGA
Molecule: ribosomal RNA, 528 nt
Filed under: Triticum aestivum (bread wheat)
Lineage: Eukaryota; Viridiplantae; Streptophyta; Magnoliopsida; Poales; Poaceae
Description: partial small subunit ribosomal RNA
Source: RNAcentral